RNAcentral lists this transfer RNA (73 nucleotides) under Vicugna pacos (alpaca). Its description in RNAcentral is "tRNA-Ala (AGC) (tRNA-Ala-AGC-180-1)". It matches the Rfam family "tRNA". From Rfam's summary of the family: Transfer RNA (tRNA) molecules are approximately 80 nucleotides in length. The record is from RNAcentral. Lineage: Eukaryota; Metazoa; Chordata; Mammalia; Artiodactyla; Camelidae.
GGAGGGUAUAGCUCAGUGGUAAAGCACGUGCUUAGCAUGCACGAGGUCCUGGGUUCAAUCCCCAGUACCUCCA